This 72-nucleotide transfer RNA is filed under the name Camelus bactrianus (Bactrian camel). It matches the Rfam family "tRNA". From Rfam's summary of the family: Transfer RNA (tRNA) molecules are approximately 80 nucleotides in length. The record is from Rfam by way of RNAcentral. Lineage: Eukaryota; Metazoa; Chordata; Mammalia; Artiodactyla; Camelidae. RNAcentral also lists the same sequence under 3 other names.
GAGAGUAUAGCUCAGUGGUAGAGCACAUGCUUAGCAUGCACGAGGUCCUGGGUUCAAUCCCCAGUACCUCCA